RNAcentral lists this ribosomal RNA (482 nucleotides) under uncultured bacterium. RNAcentral describes it as "bacterial SSU rRNA". It matches the Rfam family "Bacterial small subunit ribosomal RNA", at positions 30 to 507 of the family's 1533-position model. The record is from RNAcentral.
AUUGAACGCUGGCGGCAUGCCUUACACAUGCAAGUCGAACGGUAACAGCACUUCGGUGGCUGACGAGUGGCGGACGGGUGAGUAAUACAUCGGAACGUGCCCGAUCGUGGGGGAUAACUACUCGAAAGAGUGGCUAAUACCGCAUACGAUCUACGGAUGAAAGCGGGGGAUCGCAAGACCUCGCGCGGGCGGAGCGGCCGAUGGCAGAUUAGGUAGUUGGUGGGAUAAAAGCUUACCAAGCCGACGAUCUGUAGCUGGUCUGAGAGGACGACCAGCCACACUGGGACUGAGACACGGCCCAGACUCCUACGGGAGGCAGCAGUGGGGAAUUUUGGACAAUGGGGGAAACCCUGAUCCAGCCAUGCCGCGUGCAGGAUGAAGGCCUUCGGGUUGUAAACUGCUUUUGUACGGAACGAAAAGACUCUUUCUAAUACAGAGGGUCCAUGACGGUACCGUAAGAAUAAGCACCGGCUAACUACGUG